GGAGAGGUGGCCGAGCGGCUGAAGGCAACUGCCUGCUAAGCAGUUAUACGGGCAACCGUAUCGAGGGUUCGAAUCCCUCCCUCUCCG
RNAcentral lists this transfer RNA (87 nucleotides) under bacterium. RNAcentral's name for it is "tRNA-Ser". It matches the Rfam family "tRNA". From Rfam's summary of the family: Transfer RNA (tRNA) molecules are approximately 80 nucleotides in length. Their secondary structure includes four short double-helical elements and three loops (D, anti-codon, and T loops). RNAcentral also lists the same sequence under 1 other name. The record is from RNAcentral.